This 209-nucleotide unclassified non-coding RNA is filed under the name Hevea brasiliensis (rubber tree). The record is from RNAcentral. Lineage: Eukaryota; Viridiplantae; Streptophyta; Magnoliopsida; Malpighiales; Euphorbiaceae.
GUUGAAAGCUAACUUUGAUGCUGCAGUAGAUAUCAAUUAAAAGAAUGAAAUCAGUGCAGUUAUUAUUAGGAACCACACAGGAAGGUCUUUGGAUUGGACUACUCUAGUAUAGACAUUCCUCUUAUCCUAAAGAGUUUAGCUUGCAGGAAUGCACUUCAGCUAGUAAUUACUAAAAGAAACACUAGAAUCAUCUUUGAAGGAGAUUUUCA